Molecule: ribosomal RNA, 532 nt
Filed under: uncultured bacterium
Lineage: Bacteria
Description: bacterial SSU rRNA
Rfam family: Bacterial small subunit ribosomal RNA
Source: RNAcentral
AGAGUUUGAUCCUGGCUCAGGACGAACGCUGGCGGCGUGCCUAACACAUGCAAGUCGAACGGUAAGGCUCCCUUCGGGGAGUACACGAGUGGCGAACGGGUGAGUAACACGUGGGUAAUCUGCCCUUGACUGGGGGACAACCGAGGGAAACUUCGGCUAAUACCGCAUAAUGUGCCGCUCUGCAAAGAGAGGUACCAAAGGUAGCUUCGGCUCCCGGUCUUGGAUGAGCCCGCGGAGGAUUAGUUUGUUGGUGGGGUAAUGGCCUACCAAGACUGCGAUCCUUAGCUGGUCUGAGAGGACGAUCAGCCACACUGGAACUGAGACACGGUCCAGACUCCUACGGGAGGCAGCAGUGGGGAAUCUUGCGCAAUGGGCGAAAGCCUGACGCAGCAACGCCGCGUGUGGGAAGACGGCCUUCGGGUUGUAAACCACUUUCAGUAGGGACGAAGGUUCCAGGGUGAAUAGCCCUGUGGAUUGACGGUACCUACAGAAGAAGCUCCGGCUAACUACGUGCCAGCCGCGGCGGUAAUAC